AAAACGACUCUCGGCAACGGAUAUCUCGGCUCUCGCAUCGAUGAAGAACGUAGCGAAAUGCGAUACUUGGUGUGAAUUGCAGAAUCCGUGAACCAUCGAGUCUUUGAACGCAAGUUGCGCCCCAAGCCUUCUGGCCGAGGGCACGUCUGCCUGGGUGUCACAA
Molecule: ribosomal RNA, 163 nt
Filed under: Arabidopsis thaliana (thale cress)
Lineage: Eukaryota; Viridiplantae; Streptophyta; Magnoliopsida; Brassicales; Brassicaceae
Description: 5.8S ribosomal RNA
Rfam family: 5.8S ribosomal RNA
About the family: 5.8S ribosomal RNA (5.8S rRNA) is a component of the large subunit of the eukaryotic ribosome.
Source: RNAcentral